This 164-nucleotide ribosomal RNA is filed under the name Pinanga veitchii. RNAcentral describes it as "5.8S rRNA". It matches the Rfam family "5.8S ribosomal RNA". From Rfam's summary of the family: 5.8S ribosomal RNA (5.8S rRNA) is a component of the large subunit of the eukaryotic ribosome. It is transcribed by RNA polymerase I as part of the 45S precursor that also contains 18S and 28S rRNA. Functionally, it is thought that 5.8S rRNA may be involved in ribosome translocation. Lineage: Eukaryota; Viridiplantae; Streptophyta; Magnoliopsida; Arecales; Arecaceae. The record is from RNAcentral.
AUGAUUACUCUUGGUAACGGAUAUCUCGGCUCUCGCAUCGAUGAAGAAUGUAGCAAAAUGCGAUACCUGGUGUGAAUUAUAGAAUCCCAUGAACCAUCAAGUCUUUGAACGCAAGUUGCAUCCCAGGCCACCCGGCCGAGGGCACGCCUGCUUGGGCAUCAUGC